Sapajus apella (tufted capuchin) is the source of this 1645-nucleotide long non-coding RNA. RefSeq lists it as uncharacterized. The transcript is spliced from 2 exons. NCBI's taxonomy places the organism in Eukaryota, Metazoa, Chordata, Mammalia, Primates, Cebidae. The record is from RefSeq and is a predicted model, not a curated record.
CCGAAAGCUCUCUUGAAUUGCCAGCUUACACCUUCAUAGUUAAGAGACCAUUACUCAGCACAACAUGGCAGCUAAUAUUUAAAACAGUAAAGAGGAAAGGCAAUCAUUUCCUCACUAAAUGAAAUAGGAGAUAUGAAUCAGAGGAAUACAAUCUGGCACUGAUUGAAGUAAAUUACCAGCUGAUUAGACGGCUAUAAAUACAGGGAGAGAAGCCUCAACAGGCAGCUGGAUUUUGUAAGGAAGAGGGCAAUUAGAGAGGGCACAGAAGAGGCAGAGCACAGCCAGGGCAGCUCUGCGGCACCACGAUUACAAAGGCAGGAAGGGGUCUGUAGGAAGCGUUCUGCCGCUGGUGCCUGCAUGAAAGGGGAGCUCCUCACUCCCACUCACCCUUCCCCACCUCCCUGGUGAGCAUGAAGAGCUUAAACUGCCAGCCCCAUAGCUGGCAGCAGUUAGAAGGGGUGUUUGUUAUUGCAACACAGGAAGUAUCAACAAUUUAUCCUCCUUUUCUAUGCAGUACUCAAUCUGGAAGCUUUUUGCUUCCUAUCAAAACCCAGGGACUUGAAAACUACUCAGGCCCCUGCAGCCUACAAGGGACAAGAUUCAUGCAGAUCUCAGUGGGAGAUGCGAUCUCCAGACAGCAGCUGGGGCCCCUUGUUGCAUACAGCAAGCACUUAAAGACGCAAACCUCCGUGAUACCAGGAACUGAGAACUUUCUGCAAUUUAUAAUAGUGUAACUGGAAAGCCAAGAGCUCCUCUGUGCCUACCAAAGAACAUUCCCUCUUCCUUUGGCAACUUGGAGGAGAUAGUUUGGCCAGCCUAGGAGGAAGUGAUUGGCUGGGACAGAAAUGAGGGAGAGGAGGGUGUGAUUUUUACUUGGGUGAUGGACAUGAACAUAACAAAGAACAGACAGGAUGCCUUAGUCCCACUGGUGUUAUGAAUUCCAUAGCCCUGAGCCUUGCCCUACUACAGGCUUGUGUAAUUCUCAAGAAUGUGCUGUCAUGGCCCAAGGGGAGACUAUGCAGCGCAGACCCUCCAGCUGUGAGGUUAACUCAGCAAUGCUCCACCCUUGUCAUCUUUGGGUUUCAGCACUCGGGCCCUGGACACGCUUCUCACCAGAAGUGAACACUCGGUGGAGGCUGCAAUAGACCCAAAGACCACAUCAGCUGCAGUUUGCAUCGAGAAGAAAUGAUUCUAAUGUAACAUGACAGAGGACAUAUGAGACGAUGAAUAAACAAUAGAGAAUAAAAAUAAUGGAGGAAGGAAUUCAGAGUUGAAGAACUCCUUCAAGGAUACACAAAACUGUCAUCGGUAGUUAAGACUUCAGUGGUCUGAGGGUGAACUGCAGGUAAGUAGUCCCUCUUAUCAAAUGCCUCUUUAACAAGGCUUGCAGCUAUCUGGAUGCGACACCCAUCAUAAAAGCCGGUAUUCAUCAGAUCAGGAAAAGGGUGCAAAUAACCGACAUUAGCCAAGAAAGAAUUCAAAGAUAUUUUUGAACUAGUUUGGGGCCAACUUUUGGGUGAGAACAGAAGAGAAAUUGAAUUCACUUCAUCUGGUGUUAACUGAAAUAAGAGUUAAUGUGUCAAAUAUCUUCAUCCUGACUAAAACUAAGACCACAGAUUAGAGCACCAAAGGGUGUGACUAGAAA